GAACGGUAACAGGCCGCAAGGUGCUGACGAGUGGCGAACGGGUGAGUAAUACAUCGGAACGUGCCCGAUCGUGGGGGAUAACGCAGCGAAAGCUGUGCUAAUACCGCAUACGAUCUACGGAUGAAAGCGGGGGAUCGCAAGACCUCGCGCGGACGGAGCGGCCGAUGGCAGAUUAGGUAGUUGGUGGGGUAAAGGCCUACCAAGCCGACGAUCUGUAGCUGGUCUGAGAGGACGACCAGCCACACUGGGGCUGAGACACGGCCCAGACUCCUACGGGAGGCAGCAGUGGGGAAUUUUGGACAAUGGGCGCAAGCCUGAUCCAGCCAUGCCGCGUGCAGGAUGAAGGCCUUCGGGUUGUAAACUGCUUUUGUACGGAACGAAAAGGUUUCUUUUAAUACAGGGAACUGAUGACGGUACCGUAAGAAUAAGCACCGGCUAACUACGUGCCAGCAGCCGCGGUAAUACGUAGGGUGCGAGCGUUAAUCGGAAUUACUGGGCGUAAAGCGUGCGCAGGCGGUGAUGUAAGACAGAGGUGAAAUCCCCGGGCUCAACCUGGGAACUGCCUUUGUGACCGCAUCGCUGGAGUGCGGCAGAGGGGGAUGGAAUUCCGCGUGUAGCAGUGAAAUGCGUAGAUAUGCGGAGGAACACCGAUGGCGAAGGCAAUCCCCUGGGCCUGCACUGACGCUCAUGCACGAAAGCGUGGGGAGCAAACAGGAUUAGAUACCCUGGUAGUCCAC
RNAcentral lists this ribosomal RNA (737 nucleotides) under uncultured bacterium. Its description in RNAcentral is "bacterial SSU rRNA". It matches the Rfam family "Bacterial small subunit ribosomal RNA", at positions 64 to 798 of the family's 1533-position model. The record is from RNAcentral.